This is a non-coding RNA of Myotis brandtii (Brandt's bat), 71 nucleotides long. The record is from Rfam. Lineage: Eukaryota; Metazoa; Chordata; Mammalia; Chiroptera; Vespertilionidae.
GCCAGUGUGGCCCAGUGGUUGAGCGUCUACCUAGGAACCAGGAGGUCAAGGUUCAAUUCCUGGCACAGACU